AUGGUAAUCAAUUUCUUUGGUUCAAGAGGUGAUAUUGGCAAUUGGUUUAUUUGUGUGAAUUUUGACUGUACGUGUCAGAGUUUGAUAGUGCUAUUUAUGCUUUGGUCUUUUUCUAUUCGCAACAUGGUUGCGGUUUUAUUGAACACUUGCACUUGGGAUUUUUGUGUUAAUAUUUUUGAACUGGUUACAAACUAUUCAUGUAUGUGGAAAUUUGAGUAUGUGUCCCAUGUUAGCCCCUGUGGAUUGGAGAUGUGUGUAAGAUGUGAUUGA
This is a non-coding RNA of Vicia faba (fava bean), 270 nucleotides long. Lineage: Eukaryota; Viridiplantae; Streptophyta; Magnoliopsida; Fabales; Fabaceae. The record is from the annotation of a GenBank genome assembly.